Molecule: ribosomal RNA, 295 nt
Filed under: uncultured bacterium
Lineage: Bacteria
Description: partial 16S ribosomal RNA
Rfam family: Bacterial small subunit ribosomal RNA
Source: RNAcentral
GACGAACGCUGGCGGCGUGCUUAACACAUGCAAGUCGAGCGGGAACCUCUGAAGGGGUAACCCUUCAGAGGGGAGAGCGGCGAACGGGUGAGUAACACGUGGGCAACCUGCCCCAGACACUGGGAUAACUCCGGGAAACCGGGGCUAAUACCGGAUACUCCGGUCUGAUCGCAUGUUCGGAUCGGGAAAGCUCCGACGGUCUGGGAUGGGCCCGCGGCCUAAUCAGCUUGUUGGUGAGGUAACGGCCCACCAAGGCGACGACGGGUAGCUGGUCUGAGAGGACGGCCAGCCACAC